Molecule: ribosomal RNA, 187 nt
Filed under: uncultured Ignavibacteriales bacterium
Lineage: Bacteria; Pseudomonadati; Ignavibacteriota; Ignavibacteria; Ignavibacteriales
Description: partial 16S ribosomal RNA
Rfam family: Bacterial small subunit ribosomal RNA
Source: RNAcentral
UGAGGAAUAUUGGGCAAUGCCCGAAAGGGUGACCCAGCAACGCCGCGUGGAGGAUGAAGUCCUUAUGGAUGUAAACUCCUUUUAGAGGGGACGAAAAGCCCGAUUUGUCGGGAAUUGACGGUACCCUCAGAAAAAGCACCGGCUAACUACGUGCCAGCAGCCGCGGUAAUACGUAGGGUGCGAGCGU